CCUAUUUUAUUUUGAGUUUUGUAUUAAUCUAACCUCAUAUUGUUCCUAAUCUUUACUUUUUUGAAAAAAUUAGGAUUGUAUUGGAGCUAUUGAUGGUACUCAUGGAAGAGCAUAUGUUCCUAAGAACAUUGAGCAUGCCUUUUGUGGACAAUGGAGGAAGUAGCUGAAGGGCGGGGGGCAAUUAGUGGGCAUGCUACAUGGACAUCAGCAAUGUCUGCUUUAAUGCUCUUUCACCUUAAUGAUUUGGUGGUUGCUGGUUUGAAUACAUCAAAGGACUUUAAGAAACACCUUUACAAUGGUUGUGCUAGGGCUAUUAAUGAGAAGUUCAACACUAGGAUCACUAGUGAACAAGUCAAGAAUCAUUUGAAAACAUGGCAGAAAAGGUAUGCAAAGAUAAAUAGAUUGAAGAAGUUGAGUGCUGCCCUCUUUGAUGAAGAUAACUGCAUGAUUACACUUGAUGAGGAGCACUACAACAGCCAUGUCCAUGUAAACUUACCAUCUUUGCUCAGUUCUUGAUUAAUUGGGUUACAAUGUUCA
Molecule: long non-coding RNA, 537 nt
Organism: Setaria italica (foxtail millet)
Lineage: Eukaryota; Viridiplantae; Streptophyta; Magnoliopsida; Poales; Poaceae
Exons: 2
Source: RefSeq, a predicted model, not a curated record